RNAcentral lists this ribosomal RNA (177 nucleotides) under uncultured bacterium. RNAcentral describes it as "partial 16S ribosomal RNA". It matches the Rfam family "Bacterial small subunit ribosomal RNA", at positions 335 to 504 of the family's 1533-position model. The record is from RNAcentral.
ACUCCUACGGGAGGCAGCAGUGGGGAAUUUUGGACAAUGGGCGCAAGCCUGAUCCAGCAAUGCCGCGUGAGUGAAGAAGGCCUUCGGGUUGUAAAGCUCUUUCAGUUGAGAAGAAAAGAUUGUGACUAAUAAUUGCAAUUCAUGACGGUAUCAACAGAAGAAGCACCGGCUAACUAC